GUGUUGCUUUGGCAGCUCGUAUACUGAAAUAGGAGAUUAGCAUGGCCUCUGCUCAAGAACAACAUGUAAAUUCAUGAAGCGUUCCAUUUUUUU
Molecule: small nuclear RNA, 93 nt
Organism: Cercocebus atys (sooty mangabey)
Lineage: Eukaryota; Metazoa; Chordata; Mammalia; Primates; Cercopithecidae
Source: Ensembl